GACGAACGCUGGCGGCGUGCUUAACACAUGCAAGUCGAACGGAAAGGCCCUGCUUGCAGGGUACUCGAGUGGCGAACGGGUGAGUAACACGUGGGUGAUCUGCCCUGCACUUCGGGAUAAGCUUGGGAAACUGGGUCUAAUACCGGAUAGGAGCCAUCUUUAGUGUGGUGGUUGGAAAGUUUUUUCGGUGUAGGAUGAGCUCGCGGCCUAUCAGCUUGUUGGUGGGGUAAUGGCCUACCAAGGCGGCGACGGGUAGCCGGCCUGAGAGGGUGUACGGCCACAUUGGGACUGAGAUACGGCCCAGACUCCUACGGGAGGCAGCAGUGGGGAAUAUUGCACAAUGGGCGCAAGCCUGAUGCAACGACGCCGCGUGGGGGAUGAAGGCCUUCGGGUUGUAAACUCCUUUCGCUAGGGACGAAGCUUUUUGUGACGGUACCUAGAUAAGAAGCACCGGCUAACUACGUG
This 465-nucleotide ribosomal RNA is filed under the name uncultured bacterium. Its description in RNAcentral is "partial 16S ribosomal RNA". It matches the Rfam family "Bacterial small subunit ribosomal RNA", at positions 28 to 507 of the family's 1533-position model. The record is from RNAcentral.